RNAcentral lists this unclassified non-coding RNA (607 nucleotides) under Hevea brasiliensis (rubber tree). Lineage: Eukaryota; Viridiplantae; Streptophyta; Magnoliopsida; Malpighiales; Euphorbiaceae. The record is from RNAcentral.
CCCGCGCACUUUUUCCGUAGCUUCUCCGAUUUUGACCUUCGACAAACUCUCGGAUUGCCAGAAUCCGUUUCCAAAUGUGAAUCCGAAAACGAAUACAAGUCCAUUUCAACAACAUCGUCAUCAUCUUCGCCUGUUUGAGUGAUAGCGUUAACUUGAGAGAUUAUCUCCUUGUCCUGGCACUCAAUCUCCUCGGUUGCGUGAGACGGGGGAUGAGGAGGGGAAGAAGGAUUCUCUGAAAAUGACUUGGAAUAACAAUCUUCGUUGUUUUUUAACAAUUCAUCGUAAAGCUCAGUCUCAGCAUUGUCUGCAGCGGGAUUCUCGCCGGAGAAUCUGCCAGAUUUGACAAUGAGAGUAGCGAUAAUAGCGUUGCAGAGCAAGAAAACGAAGAUUGGGCUAGCAAUGACUCCAGCAAUUCUCAUGAAGAACUCGCUGCAAAUUCUAACGGCAAAUGGAAGCCUAUUGAAAGUCCAUGAGAGAAGCACCAGAGCAAGGCAAAACUCAAGUAAUCGGAACAAUUUUGGUAAGCUUGGAAGGUAAUUGCACCAUCGUCUAGCGCCUGGUUUCUUAGAUUUGAAGUUAUCAAAAUUAAACAAAUCCAUAACGAAAA